GACGAACGCUGGCGGCGUGCUUAACACAUGCAAGUCGAACGGAAAGGCCCCCAUCUUGGUGGGGGUGCGCGAGUGGCGAACGGGUGAGUAACACGUGGGUGAUCUGCCUUGUACUUCGGGAUAAGCUUGGGAAACUGGGUCUAAUACCGGAUAGGAUCAUGGUUUAGUGUGUCCUGGAGGAAAGAUCGUUGUUUUUGUGCAGGAUGAGCUCGGGGCCUGUUAGUUUGUUGGUGGGGUAAUGGCCUGCCAAGGCGUCGGAGGGUGACCGGCCUGAGAGGGUGGCCGCCCACAUUGGGAGUGAGACACGGGCCAGACUCGGAAGGGAGCCGGCAGUGAGGAAUAGUGCAGAAUGGGCGCAUGCCGGAUGCAGCGACGCCGCGUGGGGGAUGACGGCCGUCGGGUUGUAAACUCUUUUCGUUAGGAACGAAGGCGCACUUUUUUUGGGUGUGGUGGCCGGUACUUUGUUAAGAAGCACCGGCUAACUACGUG
Molecule: ribosomal RNA, 489 nt
Filed under: uncultured bacterium
Lineage: Bacteria
Description: partial 16S ribosomal RNA
Rfam family: Bacterial small subunit ribosomal RNA
Source: RNAcentral